AGCAGCCGCGGUAAUUCCAGCUCCAAUAGCGUAUAUUAAAGUUGUUGCAGUUAAAAAGCUCGUAGUUGAAUUUCGGGAUCAGUACGCCGGUCGUGCCUUCGGUAUGCACUGGUGUCACUGGUUUCUCCCUUCUGAAGAACCAUCAUGCCAUUCAGUUGGUGUGGCGGGGAAUCAGGACUGUUACUUUGAAAAAUUAGAGUGUUUAAAGCAGGCUCGCGCUUGAAUACAUUAGCAUGGAAUAAUGAAAUAGGACGUUUGACCCUAUUUUGUUGGUUUCUAGGAUCGACGUAAUGAUUAAUAGGGAUAGUUGGGGGCAUUAGUAUUCAAUUGUCAGAGGUGAAAUUCUUGGAUUUAUUGAAGACUAACUACUGCGAAAGCAUUUGCCAAGGAUGUUUUCAUUAAUCAAGAACGAAAGUUAGGGGGAUCGAAGACGAUCAGAUACCGUCGUAGUCUUAACCAUAAACUAUGCCGACUAGGGAUCGGAUGAUGUUAAUUUUUAAUGACUCAUUC
Molecule: unclassified non-coding RNA, 510 nt
Filed under: uncultured Glomus
Lineage: Eukaryota; Fungi; Glomeromycota; Glomeromycetes; Glomerales; Glomeraceae
Description: SSU rRNA
Rfam family: Eukaryotic small subunit ribosomal RNA
Source: RNAcentral